AUUGAACGCUGGCGGCAGGCCUAACACAUGCAAGUCGAGCGAGCGGCGGACGGGUGAGUAAUGUAUGGGGACUGCCCGAUAGAGGGGGAUAACUACAGGAAACGGGAGCGAAUACCGCAUACUAUCGGAUAACCCAUAUGGGAUUAGCUAGUAGGUGAGGUAAUGGCUCACCUAGGCGACGAUCCCUAGCUGGUCUGAGAGGAUGAUCAGCCACACUGGGACGGAGACACGGCCCAGACUCCUACGGAGGCAGCAGUGGGGAAUAUUGCACAAGGGGCGAAAGCCUGAUGCAGCCAUGCCGCGUGUAUGAAGAAGGCCCUAGGGUUGUAAAGUACUUUCAGUCGGGAGGCGUUACCGACAGAAGAAGCACCGGCUAACUCCGUGCCAGCCGCCGCGGUAAUAC
This 403-nucleotide ribosomal RNA is filed under the name uncultured bacterium. RNAcentral describes it as "partial 16S ribosomal RNA". It matches the Rfam family "Bacterial small subunit ribosomal RNA", at positions 29 to 526 of the family's 1533-position model. The record is from RNAcentral.